Molecule: ribosomal RNA, 497 nt
Filed under: uncultured bacterium
Lineage: Bacteria
Description: partial 16S ribosomal RNA
Rfam family: Bacterial small subunit ribosomal RNA
Source: RNAcentral
GAUGAACGCUGGCGGCGUGCCUAAUACAUGCAAGUCGAGCGAACAGACGAGGAGCUUGCUCCUCUGACGUUAGCGGCGGACGGGUGAGUAACACGUGGAUAGCCUACCUAUAAGACUGGGAUAACUUCGGGAAACCGGAGCUAAUACCGGAUAAUAUAUUGAACCGCAUGGUUCAAUAGUGAAAGACGGUUUUGCUGUCACUUAUAGAUGGAUCCGCGCCGCAUUAGCUAGUUGGUAAGGUAACGGCUUACCAAGGCAACGAUGCGUAGCCGACCUGAGAGGGUGAUCGGCCACACUGGAACUGAGCCACGGACCAGACUCCUACGGGAGGCAGCAGUAGGGAAUCUUACGCAAUGGGCGAAAGCUUGACGGAGCAACGCCGCGUGAGUGAUGAAGGUCUUCGGAUCGUAAAACUCUGUUAUUAGGGAAGAACAAAUGUGUAAGUAACUAUGCACGUCUUGACGGUACCUAAUCAGAAAGCCACGGCUAACUACGUG